This 478-nucleotide ribosomal RNA is filed under the name uncultured bacterium. RNAcentral's name for it is "partial 16S ribosomal RNA". It matches the Rfam family "Bacterial small subunit ribosomal RNA", at positions 28 to 523 of the family's 1533-position model. The record is from RNAcentral.
GACGAACGCUGGCGGCGUGCCUAACACAUGCAAGUCGAGCGAUGAAGCUCCUUCGGGAGUGGAAUAGCGGCGGACGGGUGAGUAACACGUGGGUAACCUGCCUCAUAGAGGGGAAUAGCCUUCCGAAAGGGAGAUUAAUACCGCAUAACAUAACUUUAUCGCAUGGUAGAGUUAUCAAAGGAGUAAUCCGCUAUGAGAUGGACCCGCGGCGCAUUAGCUAGUUGGUGAGGUAACGGCUCACCAAGGCGACGAUGCGUAGCCGACCUGAGAGGGUGAUCGGCCACAUUGGAACUGAGACACGGUCCAGACUCCUACGGGAGGCAGCAGUGGGGAAUAUUGCGCAAUGGGGGAAACCCUGACGCAGCAACGCCGCGUGAGUGAAGAAGGCCUUAGGGUUGUAAAGCUCUGUCAUAUGGGAAGAUAAUGACGGUACCAUAAGAGGAAGCCACGGCUAACUACGUGCCAGCCGCCGCCGUAA